RNAcentral lists this ribosomal RNA (469 nucleotides) under uncultured Bacteroidota bacterium. Its description in RNAcentral is "bacterial SSU rRNA". It matches the Rfam family "Bacterial small subunit ribosomal RNA", at positions 1073 to 1533 of the family's 1533-position model. Lineage: Bacteria; Pseudomonadati; Bacteroidota. The record is from RNAcentral.
AGUGUGGGUUAGUCCAUACGAGCGCACCCUUAUUUCUAGUUGCCAGCGGUUCGGCCGGGGCACUCUAGAGAAACUGCCAGCGUAAGCUGUGAGGAAGGUGGGGACGACGUCAAAUCAUCACGGCCCUUACGUCCUGGGCCACACACGUGCUACAAUGGUGGGGACAACGAGUUGCCAACCCGCAAGGGUGAGCUAAUCUCUCAAACCCCAUCUCAGUUCGGAUCGGAGUCUGCAACUCGACUCCGUGAAGUUGGAAUCGCUAGUAAUCGCGCAUCAGCCAUGGCGCGGUGAAUACGUUCCCGGGCCUUGUACACACCGCCCGUCAAGCCAUGGAAUCUGGGGGCGCCUGAAGUCAGUAACCGCAAGGAGCUGCCUAGGGCGAAUCUGGUAACUAGGGCUAAGUCGUAACAAGGUAGCCGUACCGGAAGGUGCGGGUGGAUUAACUCCUUUUUAGAGAAAAACGACUCUC